This 761-nucleotide ribosomal RNA is filed under the name Ataenius sp. FCO-2006. RNAcentral describes it as "SSU rRNA". It matches the Rfam family "Eukaryotic small subunit ribosomal RNA", at positions 473 to 1193 of the family's 1831-position model. Lineage: Eukaryota; Metazoa; Arthropoda; Insecta; Coleoptera; Scarabaeidae. The record is from RNAcentral.
GCGAAAUACGAUACGGGACUCAUCCGAGGCCCCGUAAUCGGAAUGAGUACACUCUAAACCCUUUAACGAGGAUCAAUUGGAGGGCAAGUCUGGUGCCAGCAGCCGCGGUAAUUCCAGCUCCAAUAGCGUAUAUUAAAGUUGUUGCGGUUAAAAAGCUCGUAGUCGAAUUUGUGUCCCACGCCGCUGGUUCAUCGCUCGCGGUGUCAACUGGCGUGUCCGCGGGACGUCCUGCCGGUGGGCUUAGCCUUUCGGGGCGGCCCAAUCUCAAUCCCACCGCGGUGCCCUUCACUGAGUGUCGAGGUGGGCCGGCACGUUUACUUUGAACAAAUUAGAGUGCUUAAAGCAGGCUAAAACUUCGCCUGAAUACUGUGUGCAUGGAAUAAUGGAAUAGGACCUCGGUUCUAUUUUGUUGGUUUUCGGAACCCCGAGGUAAUGAUUAAUAGGAACGGAUGGGGGCAUUCGUAUUGCGACGUUAGAGGUGAAAUUCUUGGAUCGUCGCAAGACGGACAGAAGCGAAAGCAUUUGCCAAAAACGUUUUCAUUGAUCAAGAACGAAAGUUAGAGGUUCGAAGGCGAUCAGAUACCGCCCUAGUUCUAACCAUAAACGAUGCCAGCUAGCGAUCCGCCGACGUUCCUCCGAUGACUCGGCGGGCAGCUUCCGGGAAACCAAAGCUUUUGGGUUCCGGGGGAAGUAUGGUUGCAAAGCUGAAACUUAAAGGAAUUGACGGAAGGGCACCACCAGGAGUGGAGCCUGCGGCUUAA